RNAcentral lists this ribosomal RNA (395 nucleotides) under uncultured bacterium. RNAcentral's name for it is "bacterial SSU rRNA". It matches the Rfam family "Bacterial small subunit ribosomal RNA", at positions 505 to 898 of the family's 1533-position model. The record is from RNAcentral.
GUGUCAGCAGCCGCGGUAAGACAGAGGGUGCAAACGUUGCUCGGAAUCACUGGGCGUAAAGGGCGUGUAGGCGGAUAGGCAAGUCAGACGUGAAAUCCCCAGGCUCAACCUGGGAACAGCAUUUGAAACUGCCUGUCUUGAGUGUCGGAGAGGAAAGCGGAAUUCCUGGUGUAGAGGUGAAAUUCGUAGAUAUCAGGAGGAACACCGGUGGCGAAGGCGGCUUUCUGGACGACAACUGACGCUGAGACGCGAAAGCGUGGGUAGCAAACAGGAUUAGAUACCCUGGUAGUCCACGCCGUAAACGAUGAACACUAGGUGCUGCGGGUAUUGACCCCUGCGGUGCCGUAGCUAACGCAUUAAGUGUUCCGCCUGGGAAGUACGGUCGCAAGACUAAA